CAGCUGCUGUGGGCGUUGUGGUAGUUUAGUAGGUUUUUCCAGUGAUCACCAGGAUGUAUGUGGUCUACCCACAUACUGGGUUUAUUUCCUUAGUAAUCUAGUCCAGAGAGUAGCUGAAUGUAGCAGUUUGACCAUCCACAUGAAAACAGUAGUCUGUCCAGAAUGAUAGGUGUGGGGUGAGAUAGGGAAGUUCUCCUGUGUAGCUGUGUUUUCCUGCACAACGUUAGACAGGGAGACCAGGAUUGCUGUGGGCAAACUGAGGUACAAUGCUCAUGAGUUACGCUACAUGUAAUGGACAGAAACCUGGUUAAUAAACCAUUCGGAAAUGAGGCUUGUGUUUCUGAUAUAAAAUGUAUUAUGCUUGAGUAAUCAUGUUGUACCAGUAUAGUUUCUGCAUGUACAAGGUAUACAUCUACUGUGUAUCAUAAGGUAUUAGUUUACAACAGCAUGUGUUACAUACUGUGAAUGUUCAUGUAAGUACAUACGUGUUCUAUGGUGAAAUGACAAAUACAAUUUACAGUGAGUUUGGUUAAUUUUGUGAUUAACAGAUGCAUAAGUAUAAUGGUGUCUAUUUACUGUACACAUACAUGUAAUGAGUACACAAUCUUCCUGAACACUUCUAUCUUGUGAAAGUGUCUUCAUUACGGAUGUAAUUCUGUCAUUGGAUAACUAUGUUAUAUUAAAAUAAGUGUUUGAUUGUCACAUGUUGAAAGUCCGGUCAUAAUGAAUGAUCUUUCAACAUAGAGUACUGCUUGAACUAAGGUUUACUUUUAGCUUUAUGGUCCCUGUAGUAACUGCAAUUGUCAUUAGCAUUAUUUUAUUCAUUUCAUUUUGAUCACUGCUGCAAGUUACAAUAAUUUCUUGUCAGAUUAUUGCAGUUUCUCCAGUUAGUGGUAUUGUUGUAAUCCAAAUAAGACCAGCAUUUUACCUGAAAGUGUAAAGGUCCAGAGACUGUAAAUGCCCAUUUCACUAGUAAGAGUAAGAGUAAAGGUCACUCAUGGCCAUAGUACUUUGUUAUUAGAGAUAGGCUGAGUUAUCAACUAAUGGUGUAACUGGUCCUUAACAUUGUGAUGUUUAGGCUGUUUUUCCUACUUGUUUUAGGUGUUUUCCUUAACCUGGACAAUAAAGGGCU
Liolophura sinensis is the source of this 1132-nucleotide long non-coding RNA. RefSeq lists it as uncharacterized. NCBI's taxonomy places the organism in Eukaryota, Metazoa, Mollusca, Polyplacophora, Chitonida, Chitonidae. The transcript is spliced from 3 exons. The record is from RefSeq and is a predicted model, not a curated record.